AAGUUUGAAGCGAAAAAUCGCAUUUAGUUUCGACCUAAAAAUUGGUACAUAAAAUACCCAAACUUA
RNAcentral lists this transfer RNA (66 nucleotides) under Distoleon nigricans. Its description in RNAcentral is "tRNA-Arg". Lineage: Eukaryota; Metazoa; Arthropoda; Insecta; Neuroptera; Myrmeleontidae. The record is from RNAcentral.